This 319-nucleotide ribosomal RNA is filed under the name uncultured Actinomycetes bacterium. RNAcentral's name for it is "bacterial SSU rRNA". It matches the Rfam family "Bacterial small subunit ribosomal RNA", at positions 28 to 351 of the family's 1533-position model. Lineage: Bacteria; Bacillati; Actinomycetota; Actinomycetes. The record is from RNAcentral.
GACGAACGCUGGCGGCGUGCUUAACACAUGCAAGUCGAGCGGUAAGGCCUUUCGGGGUACACGAGCGGCGAACGGGUGAGUAACACGUGGGUGAUCUGCCCUGCACUUCGGGAUAAGCCUGGGAAACUGGGUCUAAUACCGGAUAUGACCUCCUAUCGCAUGGUGGGUGGUGGAAAGAUUUAUCGGUGCAGGAUGGGCCCGCGGCCUAUCAGCUUGUUGGUGGGGUAAUGGCCUACCAAGGCGACGACGGGUAGCCGACCUGAGAGGGUGACCGGCCACACUGGGACUGAGACACGGCCCAGACUCCUACGGGAGGCUG